RNAcentral lists this ribosomal RNA (859 nucleotides) under uncultured Lactobacillus sp. Its description in RNAcentral is "bacterial SSU rRNA". It matches the Rfam family "Bacterial small subunit ribosomal RNA", at positions 28 to 845 of the family's 1533-position model. Lineage: Bacteria; Bacillati; Bacillota; Bacilli; Lactobacillales; Lactobacillaceae. The record is from RNAcentral.
GACGAACGCUGGCGGCGUGCCUAAUACAUGCAAGUCGAACGCACUCUCGUUUAGAUUGAAGGAGCUUGCUCCUGAUUGAUAAACAUUUGAGUGAGUGGCGGACGGGUGAGUAACACGUGGGUAACCUGCCCUAAAGUGGGGGAUAACAUUUGGAAACAGAUGCUAAUACCGCAUAAAACCUAACACCGCAUGGUGUAGGGUUGAAAGAUGGUUUCGGCUAUCACUUUAGGAUGGACCCGCGGUGCAUUAGUUAGUUGGUGAGGUAAAGGCUCACCAAGACCGUGAUGCAUAGCCGACCUGAGAGGGUAAUCGGCCACACUGGGACUGAGACACGGCCCAGACUCCUACGGGAGGCAGCAGUAGGGAAUCUUCCACAAUGGACGAAAGUCUGAUGGAGCAACGCCGCGUGAGUGAAGAAGGUUUUCGGAUCGUAAAACUCUGUUGUUGGAGAAGAAUGUAUCUGAUAGUAACUGAUCAGGUAGUGACGGUAUCCAACCAGAAAGCCACGGCUAACUACGUGCCAGCAGCCGCGGUAAUACGUAGGUGGCAAGCGUUGUCCGGAUUUAUUGGGCGUAAAGCGAGCGCAGGCGGUUUCUUAAGUCUGAUGUGAAAGCCUUCGGCUCAACCGAAGAAGUGCAUCGGAAACUGGGAAACUUGAGUGCAGAAGAGGACAGUGGAACUCCAUGUGUAGCGGUGAAAUGCGUAGAUAUAUGGAAGAACACCAGUGGCGAAGGCGGCUGUCUGGUCUGUAACUGACGCUGAGGCUCGAAAGCAUGGGUAGCAAACAGGAUUAGAUACCCUGGUAGUCCAUGCCGUAAACGAUGAGUGCUAGGUGUUGGAGGGUUUCCGCCCUUCAUUG